UGAUGGCGACCGGCGCACGGGUGAGUAACACGUAUCCAACCUGCCGAUGACUCGGGGAUAGCCUUUCGAAAGAAAGAUUAAUACCCGAUGGCAUAGUUCUCCGCAUGGUUUGAUUAUUAAAGAAUUUCGGUUAUCGAUGGGGAUGCGUUCCAUUAGGCAGUUGGUGGGGUAACGGCCCACCAAGCCUUCGAUGGAUAGGGGUUCUGAGAGGAAGGUCCCCUACAUUGGAACUGAGACACGGUCCAAACUCCUACGGGAGGCAGCAUG
This 267-nucleotide ribosomal RNA is filed under the name uncultured bacterium. Its description in RNAcentral is "partial 16S ribosomal RNA". It matches the Rfam family "Bacterial small subunit ribosomal RNA", at positions 86 to 353 of the family's 1533-position model. The record is from RNAcentral.